Molecule: non-coding RNA, 25 nt
Filed under: Rattus norvegicus (Norway rat)
Lineage: Eukaryota; Metazoa; Chordata; Mammalia; Rodentia; Muridae
Source: RNAcentral
UGCAAUCCAUGGAGCAGGCUGCAGA